This 157-nucleotide ribosomal RNA is filed under the name uncultured bacterium. RNAcentral describes it as "partial 16S ribosomal RNA". It matches the Rfam family "Bacterial small subunit ribosomal RNA", at positions 355 to 508 of the family's 1533-position model. The record is from RNAcentral.
UGAGGAAUAUUGGUCAAUGGUCGCAAGACUGAACCAGCCAUGCCGCGUGCAGGAAGACGGUCCUAUGGAUUGUAACUGCUUUUAUACGGGAAGAAACCCUCCCACGUGUGGGAGCCUUGACGGUACUGUAGGAAUAAGGAUCGGCUUAACUCCGUGC